CCUACGGGAGUCAGCCGUGGGGAAUAUUGCACAAUGGGGGAAACCCUGAUGCAGCGACGCCGCGGGAGUGAAGAAGUAUUUCGGUCUGUAAAGCUCUAUCAGCCGGGAAGAUAAUGACGGUAACUGAGUAAGAAGCCCCGGCUAACUAAGUGCCAGCAGCCGCGGUAAUACGUAGGGGGCAAGCGUUAUCCGGAUUUCCUGGGUUUAAAGGGAGAGUAGAGGGCAUGGCAUGUCUGAGGGGAAAGCCCGGGGCUCAACCGCGGGACUGAUUUGGACACUGUGCAGAUGGGGUGCAGGAGAGGUAAGUGGAAUGCGUAGUGUAGAGGUGAAAUGCGUAGAUAUUAGGAGGAACACCAGUGGCGAAGGCGGAGUACUGGACUGUAACUGACGUUGAGGCUCGAAAGCGUGGGGAGCAAACAGGAUUAGAUACCCCUGUAGUC
Molecule: ribosomal RNA, 440 nt
Filed under: uncultured bacterium
Lineage: Bacteria
Description: partial 16S ribosomal RNA
Rfam family: Bacterial small subunit ribosomal RNA
Source: RNAcentral